UCGAGGAUCUUCGGCAAUGGGCGCAAGCCUGACCGAGCGACGCCGCGUGCGCGAUGAAGGCCUUCGGGUUGUAAAGCGCUGUCGUGGAGGAGGAAGCCCCGCAAGGGGUUGACCUAUUCCAGGAGGAAGCACGGGCUAAGUUCGUGCCAGCAGCCGCGGUAAGACGAACCGUGCAAACGUUGUUCGGAAUCACUGGGCUUAAAGGGCGCGUAGGCGGGGGACCAAGUCCGGGGUGAAAUCUUUCGGCUUAACCGGAAAAGGGCCUUGGAUACUGGUUCUCUAGAGGGAGGUAGGGGUCUGUGGAACUUCUGGUGGAGCGGUGAAAUGCGUUGAUAUCAGAAGGAACGCCGGUGGCGAAAGCGACGGACUGGAUCUCUUCUGACGCUGAGGCGCGAAAGCCAGGGGAGCAAACGGGAUUAGAUACCCCCGUAGUCC
This 435-nucleotide ribosomal RNA is filed under the name uncultured bacterium. Its description in RNAcentral is "bacterial SSU rRNA". It matches the Rfam family "Bacterial small subunit ribosomal RNA", at positions 355 to 796 of the family's 1533-position model. The record is from RNAcentral.